CUCAUAUCAACUUACAGUUUGUUGUCUUUCAUGCUGUGAAUUUCAGGUGAAAGGAAAUACAGCAUCCCGCCACUGGAGCCACUUAAAAUAAAACAAAUAAAGAUUGCCGAUCGAAAUUUGGAUGCCUCAGUACGGGAUGCAUCUAUGUUUGGGGCAAGAAAUACAAGUCUGACAAGCAUAAGUUUUGAUUUCAACAAGAAAGAAAUCGUUAUCGGAGCCCAAGUGCCAAAUUUAACUUGGGUUGGCAGGUAUAAUGUGAGUGGUAAGCUGCUGUCACUCCCGAUAAGCGGCGAGGGGCCUAUGAAGAUUUCUUUUUAUGAUUGCGAUAUGAAGUAUACGACCAGUUACAAUUUAACUAAGCUCGGUAAAGGAGAUGUGUACCUAGUGCUCAAGGACUUCAAGUUGUUGAUGGCACCUCAGGGUUUAAAAAUUCAACUAGAUAACUUAUUCAACGAAAACAAGAUACU
Non-coding RNA from Zootermopsis nevadensis, 467 nucleotides. NCBI's taxonomy places the organism in Eukaryota, Metazoa, Arthropoda, Insecta, Blattodea, Termopsidae. The record is from RefSeq and is a predicted model, not a curated record.